AAAUAAGAUUGGUCAGGUGUCAUGUGAUCAAUUAGUCUAAAGUCAAGCAACCAUCUAUGAGAUUCAGGUCUAUUUCCUAUAGAUAUAAAACCUAAUAAGACUAGGGUGAAUGAAUAUUUGAGGUUUCAAUGAUCUUCACCUGAAUUUGUUGGACAUGGGGGGUGACAAACUUGAUUUAGGGGUUAAAUAUGUCAUUGUGAUGUAACUAAGUUCAUGCAAAUAACAUUUAUAAAACCUCAAUCUUCAAUUUAGGAUGAGUAAGGGUUGAUCUUCAAGGAGUGUAGAUAAUGAGAGUAUGAAUUUCACUUAUAUUAUUUCUUAUAUAUAUACUUAUAUAUAAUCUAGAUGAUAAUGGGUGAGAUUAAAUGUGAUAAUGGUGAAGAUAAGAGGAAUAUAGAAGGUGAUGAUGAUGAGAGAAUGGAUAGAACAUGAUAGAAUGAUAGAAUAAAUGAUGAAAUUAGUUCAAACUAAGAGUUAAUCUAUCCAUUGAGAUGAUUUCAAGGACCCCCCAAAUCUAGAUCUUGCACAAACCUCGUUGUGUGCUAGUCUUAAGUUGAGCAAUAUUUGAUCCGUAAUGAUCUU
RNAcentral lists this long non-coding RNA (582 nucleotides) under Spirodela polyrhiza (greater duckweed). RNAcentral's name for it is "long non-coding RNA (SPOL_LNC001164)". Lineage: Eukaryota; Viridiplantae; Streptophyta; Magnoliopsida; Alismatales; Araceae. The record is from RNAcentral.